UGCAGAGUAGAGAAGUGGACUAUCUCGUCGGGUUCAUAUCCCGAAGAUCGAAGGUUCGAAUCCUUCCUCAGCAA
This 74-nucleotide transfer RNA is filed under the name compost metagenome. Its description in RNAcentral is "tRNA-Met". It matches the Rfam family "tRNA". From Rfam's summary of the family: Transfer RNA (tRNA) molecules are approximately 80 nucleotides in length. Their secondary structure includes four short double-helical elements and three loops (D, anti-codon, and T loops). The record is from RNAcentral.